GAUGAGGGGCAAUAUUGCAAAUGUGCACGUAAAGAAAAAGCUCAAUUCCAGUGAAACAGUUGUCUGUCGAAAUGUCGACAACUAGCAAUCAAAGGUGAAUAGACGACUGCAAAAAAAAGAAUGGCGGAGAUAUGUCCAACGCAUCGACCUAGAAUAAAAAAGGAAAAGGGCAAUGGCAGAACAUGGGAACAAAAUGCUUCCGGAGCACUAGCAUCCACAGAACAAAAUUCUAUCCCGCCAGCCACUCGAGUCCGCGCCACGAGCUCCAUCCAAAGUCGUGGCGCUACCUGUAAUCCACUCGCUCAUGAUCACCACUUGACAGAAAACCAAAACAACGCACCGCAGCGAGAUAUUCUCUAGUAUCUUUGAGAGCUAACCGAGUAGAUAUUUUCCUCUCUUGAUCACUCUUGGCUAGUCUCCGAAAAAAGCAAAGAUAUUUUUGCCUCCAGCGCGCACAAUCGCGCACCGGCGAACGAACGAGACAAGUGGCUGGAGGCGGUGGAUAAUCCACGGCCACUCUCAGCCAGCCAGCCAGCCAGCGGGGGAGGAGACAACGCCGUGGCGUGGGGUCCCGAUCCAAAACCACUCGGUACUCGGUAUCGUCGUCUGGUUGAGGUCGUUUCUGGGUUUCCAAGGUAUCACGGGCUCCGUCCGACGUGGCGCACUAAUAUCUCCCUCUUGUGUGCAUCGCGGCCCCCGACUGCCUGCCUGCCUUCCGCAUGGGCUGCUGCAAGUUGCGGCAAAUUCAGACGCACCAAUUGGUCGCGAUGGGAUAGAUCAUGUCAUCAUGCGUGGGAAUCCUGUUCUCAAGCCUACCUGAUUUGAGAUCUCACCGAGUGAUCGAUCGGUCGCGAUGGGAUAGUACCCUUCACGUGGCUCGGCGUGGACCUGUCGCUCUGAAUCUCUGAUAAUUUUUCUCAAUUUUCCGUGGCCAUCUGUUUGUGUGAGAAACUGAGCAAGCCGGCCAGACGUGAGAGGAGGGGGUUCAAAAAGGUUUUCAGCUUCCGCCGGUGUCGCCGACGGACGUACGCCAAAGCGACCCGCAACUUCCCACCAUUUCCGGCCAUGUGGACUGCGUUUCUACCGCCGCGUUCGCGUCGAGCACCGUGGAUGACGCUGGACCACACAGGACACGACCGGC
This 1141-nucleotide long non-coding RNA is filed under the name Sorghum bicolor (sorghum). RNAcentral describes it as "long non-coding RNA (SBIC_LNC003711)". Lineage: Eukaryota; Viridiplantae; Streptophyta; Magnoliopsida; Poales; Poaceae. The record is from RNAcentral.